Manihot esculenta (cassava) is the source of this 1568-nucleotide RNA transcript. RefSeq lists it as uncharacterized. NCBI's taxonomy places the organism in Eukaryota, Viridiplantae, Streptophyta, Magnoliopsida, Malpighiales, Euphorbiaceae. The record is from RefSeq and is a predicted model, not a curated record. The transcript has 2 exons.
UCUCUGUUGGGUAGUUGGUAAAGGUCACUUGUUUAUCAUCUUCAAUUAGCCCAAGACUAAUUCGCACUGGUCUUCUCCUUAGGUUGGGCCAAGCAUAACCUAUAUAUACAGUUCUUCUCACAGGCCAAGCUCAGUGACGAUAUUAUCUCAAUUUUUAACUCACUUACCAUGAAUAGACCUAAUUCCUUCUUCAUUAUCCUUAUACCCUUGAUCUUCACUGGAAUGGCAACUUUUUUCCGGUUCGCUGACGGAGGAAAGCGAAGAAUCCACAUCGAGGACGACCUCGAUGACGUAGUUGACGAGGAGGACGAGGCCUAGAAGCAGUGGGCAAGAAAUCAAUUCUCUCUUCUGAUGAGUUCGAUCCAGCGCCUUCCGAUUUGUCCAACAUGGACAUGUCGCAGAUCCAGGAGUUGAUGAGGAAGCAGCAUUGGGCCGGUUUUUGGGUUCGUAAGCUUCAAUUUGGUGUGCGCGGGACUCCGGUUAAUGGAUUUUUAUUCUUUGCGAUUUUGGUUCAGUCGUUAACUGGGAUUUGGUUUUGUUUUGGAAUAGAGUGAGCUGUCCCUACUAGGUUCGGUGUCAUGCAUUUAAUUAUUCAAUCAUUCGAGGGUGCAAUUGGAAGAAAUGGCUAGCGUUUUGAAUUAUAACGAUGGAUUGCAAGUGCAUUCCGGUUCCUUUGUAUAAUUUUGGUUAUUCAGGUUCUGAAUUCUGAUUUUCCGUUUUCAAUACUCCUUGGUCUAUGAAUGAUGAUGUCCUAUUUCACUAUAAUAAUUUCUAUAUUUUCAGCAUAUGCCCGAUCUUUUGCAUUUCCUUACUUUGUGGUAAAAGCUUGAGCUGGGCUAACGAUUUUGCAACUUAUUUUCAGGAAAUGGUGGCAGCGAUUGCAAUGACAUGGACCAAAGUUCUAAUAAUUGAAGCAAUUAAGGUGAAGUUCAUGGGUGUUGAUACCAGCACAAUUAAGUUCACGGAAAAAGGCCAAAACAUGGUUGAGAAUAUUUUGAGUGAUAUUUGCGGCAUACGAGAACACUCACAUUUCCAAAUCACACAUUUCCUUUUUAACUAUAAUUUACUGAAUCUUGUGUUAUACUUAUUUAUUUAUUAUUUUUUAAUCUCGUUGUCUACACCGUGAAACAUACAUUAUACUAUUGUUCCGUGUUUUAGUUCGUCAAGCAAUUGCUUGAACGUCUGAUUUCAUGUCAUUCUAGCACCUCAUCUUUCCAUCUUCUCUUACCAGUUGAAGGAGUUCAUCUUAAACGAACCAGAGGCUUAUGAGAUCAAGAUUCGGGAUCAAGUUUUCCGUAAACCUGGAGGCCCUACCUUGGAGGAAGUUAUUGAGAAGCUUCAGAGUAAGAAGGAGACAAGUCAGUAUGUUGAGCAUCCGAAAGAAGAAUUGUUCUCCGGGAUCUCAUUACAUGCAACUUCUGACACAUUAAUCAUAACAUUAGGUCAUUGUACAUUGUAACUUAAUAGUCUGAUUGCAGCACUUCAUCCACAAUCCUCCACUUUCUUCCCUCUCAUUUGCUUUUCUAAUCUCACUACCCUCCUAAUAUAGCCUCGUUAUUACUCAUGAU